AACGAGUCCGAUAGAAACCUCGUACAACGCUUCAGUGCCGAGCAAAUUCAGCAAUUGGCAAGGGCUAUUUACUCGCUCAACAAUAACGGUAAAAGUGACACGUUGGUUAGCUCUGCAGGUCUGCUUGCCCAUAACUCCUCUUCUAAUUCUGCUUUUACGAAACCAUGGAUUUUGGAUAGCGGAGCAACCCAUCACAUUGCAUCUGAUUCACAAUUUUUCACACACA
RNAcentral lists this long non-coding RNA (226 nucleotides) under Phaseolus vulgaris (common bean). RNAcentral's name for it is "long non-coding RNA (PVUL_LNC004730)". Lineage: Eukaryota; Viridiplantae; Streptophyta; Magnoliopsida; Fabales; Fabaceae. The record is from RNAcentral.